Molecule: ribosomal RNA, 252 nt
Filed under: uncultured bacterium
Lineage: Bacteria
Description: partial 16S ribosomal RNA
Rfam family: Bacterial small subunit ribosomal RNA
Source: RNAcentral
GUUUGAUCAUGGCUCAGAGUGAACGCUCGGCGUGUAAGGCCUAACACAUGCAAGUCGAACGGCAGCACAGGAGAGCUUGCUCUCUGGGUGGCGAGUGGCGGACGGGUAGAGGAAUACAUACGGAAUCUACUUUUUCGUGGUGGUGAUAACGUAGUGGAAACUUACGCUAAUACCGCAUACGACCUACGGGUGAAAGCAGUGGGAUCUUCGGACCUUGCGCGAUUGAAUGAGCCGAUGUCGGAUUAGCUAGUU